RNAcentral lists this long non-coding RNA (841 nucleotides) under Homo sapiens (human). RNAcentral describes it as "HSALNT0051609". Lineage: Eukaryota; Metazoa; Chordata; Mammalia; Primates; Hominidae. The record is from RNAcentral.
UCUGGCGGUACAUUCUGUCCCGGCCCCUUAUAGGGAAUUUACUCUCAGUUGGACCCACCUCCACCCUUACCCCCACCAGAGGGCUGUUCCUGGCAAAGCAGAGCAGCUUCACCAUCAGGCACAGGACAUGCCAGUUUCGAGAGACGUUUAGGAUUUAUGUGCAACCAAUGAAUAAGCAGAUGGAGUGUCAGAGAGAGUGGGGCCUACCCACUGUCUCCUGGACGAGCUGGGACCAAACCCAGCCUACGCAGGAGGGGUCAUAACAUGAGGCCUGUAUCUGCUUUGUUCCCAUGGAAUCCGGUAAAGUGGAUCCCCAGUUCGACUCCAGCAGGCCCAUCUCUCACCUGUCUGCCACGUCCACACUGCCACCAGGGACAGAGCUAACAUCUGGCUCUGCUUCAUGAGGCCUCCAGCCCCAGAGCAGCUCAGGGACAGGAAGGAUGAACUCUGCCUGGCCUUGCUGAGCUAGUUCUCGGGGCUCCCACUGCAAGCUCUGUGGUUAACGCCUCUGCUGACAGCGGACAGGACAGACUUUCUCUGAAAGUCUGAGUUUCUCUGAAUCUCUGAGGUGCAGGAUUCUCAGAAACCCAGCGGCAGCCUUGCCACGCACCACCGCUGCGACACUGGCCACUCCCGGCAAUCUGAGGGGCAUUUUGUGUGUCCCCAGCACCUGUACAGCCUCACACUUUGAAGGUGUCCAAUCACAUCUGCUGGAGGAACAAGUGGCCCAAUGUUGCAUGGAUCCUCUGGGUCGGUGUCAUCUCUCUGGGUCGGUGUCAUCUGUCCCCUCUCACCAACAGGAUCGGGGGAGAACAAAAUGAGAACAUAUGGAGAACACAGC